GAUGAAGAACGCAGCGAAAUGCGAUAAGUAAUGUGAAUUGCAGAAUUCAGUGAAUCAUCGAAUCUUUGAACGCACAUUGCGCCCCCUGGCAUUCCGGGGGGCAUGCCUGUUCGAGCGUCAUUACAACCCUCAAGCUCUGCUUGGUAUUGGGCUCUGCUGGGACCGGCAGGCCUUAAAAUCAGUGGCGGCGCCACUCGGCUUCAAGCGUAGUAAUUCUUCUCGCUUUGGAGACCCGGGUGCGUGCUAGCCAGCAACCCCCAACUUUCUUAGGUUGACCUCGGAUCAGGUAGGGAUACCCGCUGAACUUAAGCAUAUCAAUAAGCGGAGGA
Molecule: unclassified non-coding RNA, 329 nt
Filed under: soil metagenome
Description: partial contains 5.8S ribosomal RNA, internal transcribed spacer 2, and large subunit ribosomal RNA
Rfam family: 5.8S ribosomal RNA (bases 1-120)
Source: RNAcentral